Molecule: ribosomal RNA, 253 nt
Filed under: uncultured bacterium
Lineage: Bacteria
Description: partial 16S ribosomal RNA
Rfam family: Bacterial small subunit ribosomal RNA
Source: RNAcentral
UACGUAGGGUGCGAGCGUUGUCCGGAAUUAUUGGGCGUAAAGAGCGUGUAGGCGGCCAGGUAGGUCUGGUGUGAAAACUCGAGGCUUAACCUCGAGAUGUCAUCGGAAACCAUUUGGCUAGAGUCCGGAAGAGGAGAGUGGAAUUCCUGGUGUAGCGGUGAAAUGCGCAGAUAUCAGGAAGAACACCAAUGGCGAAAGCAGCUCUCUGGGACGGUACUGACGCUGAGACGCGAAAGCGUGGGGAGCGAACAGG